Podarcis lilfordi (Lilford's wall lizard) is the source of this 78-nucleotide non-coding RNA. Lineage: Eukaryota; Metazoa; Chordata; Lepidosauria; Squamata; Lacertidae. The record is from the annotation of a GenBank genome assembly.
GUUCCACUAGAUGGCUCAGUCGGUUUGAGCCUGGUGCUGAUAACGCCAAGGUUGCAGGUUCAAUCCCUGUGUGGGACA